RNAcentral lists this ribosomal RNA (411 nucleotides) under uncultured bacterium. RNAcentral's name for it is "bacterial SSU rRNA". It matches the Rfam family "Bacterial small subunit ribosomal RNA", at positions 975 to 1385 of the family's 1533-position model. The record is from RNAcentral.
CUGGCCUUGACAUCCAGAGAACUUUCCAGAGAUGGUUUGGUGCCUUCGGGAACUCUGAGACAGGUGCUGCAUGGCCGUCGUCAGCUCGUGUCGUGAGAUGUUGGGUUAAGUCCCGUAACGAGCGCAACCCCUAUCCCUGGUUGCUAGCAGGUAAUGCUGAGAACUCCAGGGAGACUGCCGGUGACAAACCGGAGGAAGGUGGGGAUGACGUCAGGUCAUCAUGGCCCUUACGGCCAGGGCUACACACGUGCUACAAUGGCGCGUACAGAGGGCUGCCAACUCGCGAGAGUGAGCCAAUCCCUUAAAACGCGUCGUAGUCCGGAUCGGAGUCUGCAACUCGACUCCGUGAAGUCGGAAUCGCUAGUAAUCGCGAAUCAGAAUGUCGCGGUGAAUACGUUCCCGGGUCUUGUA